ACUUUGGCAGCCCUUAUUGCGGAACAGGUACGCUGACUGACCCUGCUAUUAAAGGAAAAAUAGUUUUGUGUAUGGCAGGUGGUGGUUAUACAAGGAUUGGAAAAGGACAAGCAGUAAAGGAUGCUGGAGGUGCUGGCAUGAUCAUUUACAAUGGGCUAGAAUAUGGUGUUACUACGUUAGCCGAUGCUCAUGUCCUUCCUGCCCUGGAUGUUACUUAUGCUGAUGGAAUGACAAUUCUUGACUAUAUGAAUUCAACAUUGGCAUGAUCAUCUACAAUGGGCUAGAAUAUGGUGUUACUACGUUAGCCGAUGCUCAUGUCCUUCCUGCCCUGGAUGUUACUUAUGCUGAUGGAAUGAAAAUUCUUGACUAUAUGAAUUCAAC
RNAcentral lists this long non-coding RNA (381 nucleotides) under Nicotiana benthamiana. RNAcentral's name for it is "long non-coding RNA (NBEN_LNC041473)". Lineage: Eukaryota; Viridiplantae; Streptophyta; Magnoliopsida; Solanales; Solanaceae. The record is from RNAcentral.